GUGUCAGCAGCCGCGGUAAGACGAACCGUGCAAACGUUGUUCGGAAUCACUGGGCUUAAAGGGCGCGUAGGCGGUGUGUUAAGUCGGCGGUGAAAUACUCCGGCUCAACCGGAGAAUUGCCGCUGAAACUGGCAUGCUGGAGGGAGGUAGAGGUGCAUGGAACUUCCGGUGGAGCGGUGAAAUGCGUUGAUAUCGGAAGGAACGCCUGUGGCGAAAGCGAUGCACUGGACCUCAUCUGACGCUGAGGCGCGAAAGCUAGGGUAGCGAACGGGAUUAGAUACCCGGGUAGUCC
RNAcentral lists this ribosomal RNA (292 nucleotides) under uncultured bacterium. RNAcentral describes it as "partial 16S ribosomal RNA". It matches the Rfam family "Bacterial small subunit ribosomal RNA", at positions 505 to 796 of the family's 1533-position model. The record is from RNAcentral.